This 633-nucleotide ribosomal RNA is filed under the name uncultured bacterium. Its description in RNAcentral is "bacterial SSU rRNA". It matches the Rfam family "Bacterial small subunit ribosomal RNA", at positions 8 to 646 of the family's 1533-position model. The record is from RNAcentral.
AGAGUUUGAUCAUGGCUCAGGACGAACGCUGGCGGCGUGCUUAACACAUGCAAGUCGAACGGAGUUUAAAUCAGUAGUUUACUACAGAUUUAAACUUAGUGGCGGACGGGUGAGUAACACGUGGGCAACCUGCCCUAAAGAGGGGGAUAACACCGAGAAAUCGGUGCUAAUACCGCAUAAAAUUAGAGCUUCGCAUGGAGCUUUAAUCAAAGGAGUAAUCCGCUUUAGGAUGGGCCCGCGUCUGAUUAGCUAGUUGGUGAGGUAGAGGCUCACCAAGGCGACGAUCAGUAGCCGAUCUGAGAGGAUGACCGGCCACACUGGAACUGAGACACGGUCCAGACUCCUACGGGAGGCAGCAGUGGGGAAUAUUGCACAAUGGGGGAAACCCUGAUGCAGCAACGCCGCGUGGAGGAAGAAGGUUUUCGGAUUGUAAACUCCUGUCUUUUGGGACGAUAAUGACGGUACCAAAAGAGGAAGCCACGGCUAACUACGUGCCAGCAGCCGCGGUAAUACGUANGUGGCGAGCGUUGUCCGGAAUUACUGGGCGUAAAGGGCGCGUAGGCGGCCUGUUAAGUCAGAUGUGAAAACCCCAGGCUCAACCUGGGGACUGCAUAUGAAACUGAUGGGCUAGAG